AGCUGCGCAGUGGGCACAGAGCGAACUAUUCUUUCGCCUUUUACUAAAGAAUACCGUGUGCUCGCUGCAAAUAGCAGCAUACUCUAAUUUUUUGAGGGGAUUUACUAUAUAAGGAGAAC
Oryza nivara is the source of this 119-nucleotide non-coding RNA. The record is from Rfam. NCBI's taxonomy places the organism in Eukaryota, Viridiplantae, Streptophyta, Magnoliopsida, Poales, Poaceae.